UACGUAGGGUGCGAGCGUUGUCCGGAAUUAUUGGGCGUAAAGGGCUCGUAGGCGGUUUGUCGCGUCGGGAGUGAAAUCCACUGGCUUAACUGGUGGCUUGCUUUCGAUACGGGCAGACUGGAGGUAUGCAGGGGAGAACGGAAUUCCUGGUGUAGCGGUGAAAUGCGCAGAUAUCAGGAGGAACACCGGUGGCGAAGGCGGUUCUCUGGGCAUGUCCUGACGCUGAGGCGCGAAAGCUAGGGGAGCAAACGGG
RNAcentral lists this ribosomal RNA (253 nucleotides) under uncultured bacterium. Its description in RNAcentral is "partial 16S ribosomal RNA". It matches the Rfam family "Bacterial small subunit ribosomal RNA", at positions 524 to 776 of the family's 1533-position model. The record is from RNAcentral.